RNAcentral lists this ribosomal RNA (253 nucleotides) under uncultured bacterium. RNAcentral describes it as "partial 16S ribosomal RNA". It matches the Rfam family "Bacterial small subunit ribosomal RNA", at positions 524 to 776 of the family's 1533-position model. The record is from RNAcentral.
UACGUAGGGUGCAAGCGUUGUCCGGAAUUAUUGGGCGUAAAGAGCUCGUAGGCGGCUUGUCGCGUCGGCUGUGAAAACCUGGGGCUCAACCCCGGGCCUGCAGCCGAUACGGGCAAGCUAGAAUUCGGUAGGGGAGACUGGAAUUCCUGGUGUAGCGGUGAAAUGCGCAGAUAUCAGGAGGAACACCGGUGGCGAAGGCGGGUCUCUGGACAAUUCCUGACACUGAGACACGAAGGCCAGGGGAGCAAACGGG